RNAcentral lists this ribosomal RNA (496 nucleotides) under uncultured bacterium. RNAcentral's name for it is "partial 16S ribosomal RNA". It matches the Rfam family "Bacterial small subunit ribosomal RNA", at positions 29 to 507 of the family's 1533-position model. The record is from RNAcentral.
AUGAACGCUGGCGGCGUGCCUAAUACAUGCAAGUCGAGCGAACGGACGAGAAGCUUGCUUCUCUGAUGUUAGCGGCGGACGGGUGAGUAACACGUGGAUAACCUACCUAUAAGACUGGGAUAACUUCGGGAAACCGUAGCUAAUACCGGAUAAUAUUUUGAACCGCAUGGUUCAAAAGUGAAAGACGGUCUUGCUGUCACUUAUAGAUGGAUCCGCGCUGCAUUAGCUAGUUGGUAAGGUAACGGCUUACCAAGGCAACGAUGCAUAGCCGACCUGAGAGGGUGAUCGGCCACACUGGAACUGAGACACGGUCCAGACUCCUACGGGAGGCAGCAGUAGGGAAUCUUCCGCAAUGGGCGAAAGCCUGACGGAGCAACGCCGCGUGAGUGAUGAAGGUCUUCGGAUCGAAAAACCCUGUUAUUAGGGAAGAACAUAUGUGUAAGUAACUGUGCACAUCUUGACGGUACCUAAUCAGAAAGCCACGGCUAACUACGUG